UACGUAGGGGGCAAGCGUUGUCCGGAAUCAUUGGGCGUAAAGCGCGUGUAGGCGGUCCGAUAAGUCGGUUGUGAAAGUCCAGGGCUCAACCCUGGGAUGCCGACCGAUACUGUCGGACUAGAGUUCGGAAGAGGCGAGUGGAAUUCCCGGUGUAGCGGUGAAAUGCGCAGAUAUCGGGAGGAACACCAAUGGCGAAGGCAGCUCGCUGGGACGUUACUGACGCUGAGACGCGAAAGCGUGGGGAGCAAACAGG
This 253-nucleotide ribosomal RNA is filed under the name uncultured bacterium. RNAcentral describes it as "partial 16S ribosomal RNA". It matches the Rfam family "Bacterial small subunit ribosomal RNA", at positions 524 to 776 of the family's 1533-position model. The record is from RNAcentral.